CGGACAGCAAUAUGAAGGUCAGGCUGAAGACCUUACCCGAUUAGCUGAGAGGUGGUGCAUGGCCGUCGUCAGUUCGUACUGUGAAGCAUCCUGUUAAGUCAGGCAACGAGCGAGACCCACGUCCACAGUUGCCAGCAUACCCUCCGGGGUGAUGGGUACACUGUGGAGACCGCCGCUGCUAAAGCGGAGGAAGGAGUGGGCAACGGUAGGUCAGUAUGCCCCGAAUCUCCCGGGCUACACGCGGGCUACAAUGGUUGGUACAAUGGGCAUCUACCCCGAAAGGGGAAGGAAAUCUCUUAAAGCCAAUCGUAGUUCGGAUUGAGGGCUGCAACUCGCCCUCAUGAAGCUGGAAUCCGUAGUAAUCGCGUUUCAACAGAACGCGGUGAAUACGUCCCUGCUCCUU
This 403-nucleotide ribosomal RNA is filed under the name uncultured Methanosaeta sp. Its description in RNAcentral is "bacterial SSU rRNA". It matches the Rfam family "Archaeal small subunit ribosomal RNA", at positions 936 to 1338 of the family's 1478-position model. The record is from RNAcentral. Lineage: Archaea; Methanobacteriati; Methanobacteriota; Methanomicrobia; Methanotrichales; Methanotrichaceae.